CAAGGUUGAAACUCAAAGGAAUUGACGGGGGCCCGCACAAGCGGUGGAACAUGUGGUUUAAUUCGAUGAUACGCGAGGACACUUACCUGGGCUUAAAUGCAGAACGACGUACCGGGAAACUGGUAUUCCCUUCGGGGCGGACUGCAAGGUGCUGCAUGGUUGUCGUCAGCUCGUGCCGUGAGGUGUCGGGUUAAGUCCCAUAACGAGCGCAACCCUCAUCGUUAGUUGCCAGCGAGUAAUGUCGGGGACUCUAACGAAACAGCCGGUGUAAACCGUGAGGAAGGUGGGGAUGACGUCAAAUCAGCACGGCCCUUAUGUCCAGGGCUACACACGUGUUACAAUGGCCAGUACAGAGGGCAGCUACCAGGCGACUGGAUGCUAAUCUCCAAAACUGGUCUUAGUUCGGAUUGAAGUCUGCAACUCGACUUCAUGAAGCUGGAAUCGCUAGUAAUCGCGCAUCAGCCAUGGCGCGGUGAUACGUUCCCGGGCUUUGUACACACCGCCCGUCAAGCCAUGAAGCUUGGGGUACCUGAAGUCCGUAACCGCGA
This 548-nucleotide ribosomal RNA is filed under the name uncultured organism. RNAcentral's name for it is "bacterial SSU rRNA". It matches the Rfam family "Bacterial small subunit ribosomal RNA", at positions 889 to 1444 of the family's 1533-position model. The record is from RNAcentral.